GACGAACGCUGGCGGCGUGCUUAACACAUGCAAGUCGAACGGUAAGGCCCUUCGGGGUACACGAGUGGCGAACGGGUGAGUAACACGUGGGUGAUCUGCCCUGCACUUCGGGAUAAGCCUGGGAAACUGGGUCUAAUACCGGAUAGGACUCCGGACUGCAUGGUCUGGGGUGGAAAGCUUUUGCGGUGUGGGAGGGGCCCGCGGCCUAUCAGCUUGGUGGUGGGGUGAUGGCCUACCAAGGCGACGACGGGUAGCCGGCCUGAGAGGGUGACCGGCCACACUGGGACUGAGAUACGGCCCAGACUCCUACGGGAGGCAGCAGUGGGGAAUAUUGCACAAUGGGCGCAAGCCUGAUGCAGCGACGCCGCGUGAGGGAUGACGGCCUUCGGGUUGUAAACCUCUUUCAGCAUCGACGAAGCGAAAGUGACGGUAGGUGCAGAAGAAGGACCGGCCAACUACGUGCCAGCAGCCGCGGUAA
RNAcentral lists this ribosomal RNA (478 nucleotides) under uncultured bacterium. RNAcentral's name for it is "partial 16S ribosomal RNA". It matches the Rfam family "Bacterial small subunit ribosomal RNA", at positions 28 to 523 of the family's 1533-position model. The record is from RNAcentral.